CAGUCCUAAAUGCCUGAUAUAACUUAGAUAUCCAGAUGUAACGUGGAAAACUGAAUCAUACCCACUGAUUAAAGGGACAUACAAAUAUAAUAUAAUCAAAGAAAAGGAAAAGGGAACAUGUGAAAGUUAAUUGAAAACUAACAAGACAAUAACAUAUGACCUGAUUGGUGGUGGUUGGGAACAUCGAUCGGGAAUCGACACGUACACGAACUAAAGAACAAAUGAGAUCGAAAGAAGAUAGUACAAUAUGAAACUCAAGAACAGGCAAAAAUAGCAUCCAGUUCAGAUGAUUUGAAUAUUUCUCUAGCAUAUUUGAUCUUCCUGCCCAUGUCUUCUCCCGGCUCCCCGCCUUUAAUCAUCUCGCAUUGGCAGAUAAACGCAUCAAGUUCUCAACAAAUAAGGAAUAAACAAACUCAACAAUGAUGGUUUAACCUUCAACGAAACAAACCCUGAUAAAAAUGCUUAACCAAAAAAGCAGACUAGCAGCACCUACCCCGAAUGUGGUAUAUCACACGGUAUAAGAAUUCAACGGUUUGCAAAAGGGUCUGUAACAUAGUGGUUACAUAAGGCCUUAGUAGUACUUGAGAUCCUAGGUUUGACUCCUCUUUGGAGCGAAUUUUUCGGUAUUCUAACGGCUUUGUGCUUUCAGUGUGAGAUAACGUGCCCGUCGUCAGCGAGGUGCCAGUGGUGACUUCAUUAUUAAUUAAAUCUUGCUGACGGUCUUUGGAGGUGCUCGUAGGGAUAGAGUUUGCGUGCGUGCGUUCUCAGGGAGAGUGUGCAUGCGUUGUGAGCGUGUUCAUUAUUAAUUAAAUCUUGCUGACGGUCUUUGGAGGUGCUCGUAGGGAUAGAGUUUGCGUGCGUGCGUUCUCAGGGAGAGUGUGCGUGCGUUGUGAGCGUGCGUUGUACUGUGUUCUAAAAAAAGAAUUCAACGGUUUUUUAAGAGAACUGUCAUAGGAAAU
RNAcentral lists this long non-coding RNA (959 nucleotides) under Oryza brachyantha (malo sina). Its description in RNAcentral is "long non-coding RNA (OBRA_LNC001019)". Lineage: Eukaryota; Viridiplantae; Streptophyta; Magnoliopsida; Poales; Poaceae. The record is from RNAcentral.